UAAGCUGUAGUUUAAAAAAAAACAUUUAACUUACAAUUAAAAAUUACUAGUAUCAGCUUAA
This 61-nucleotide transfer RNA is filed under the name Proasellus hercegovinensis. RNAcentral's name for it is "transfert RNA-C(GTA)". Lineage: Eukaryota; Metazoa; Arthropoda; Malacostraca; Isopoda; Asellidae. The record is from RNAcentral.